RNAcentral lists this ribosomal RNA (252 nucleotides) under uncultured bacterium. Its description in RNAcentral is "partial 16S ribosomal RNA". It matches the Rfam family "Bacterial small subunit ribosomal RNA", at positions 99 to 334 of the family's 1533-position model. The record is from RNAcentral.
CGCACGGGUGAGUAACGCGUAGAUAAUCUACCUUUAAGACUGGGACAACGGACCGAAAGGUCCCCUAAUACCGGAUACGCUCUUUUUUAACAUAAGUUAGAAAGAAGAAAGAUGGCCUCUCCUUGGAAGCUAUUGCUUGAAGAUGAGUUUGCGUACCAUUAGCUAGUUGGUGGGGUAAGAGCCUACCAAGGCUACGAUGGUUAGCGGGUCUGAGAGGAUGAUCCGCCACACUGGAACUGAAACACGGACCAG